This 373-nucleotide ribosomal RNA is filed under the name uncultured bacterium. RNAcentral describes it as "bacterial SSU rRNA". It matches the Rfam family "Bacterial small subunit ribosomal RNA", at positions 524 to 898 of the family's 1533-position model. The record is from RNAcentral.
UACGUAGGGGGCAAGCGUUGUCCGGAUUUACUGGGCGUAAAGGGUGCGUAGGCGGCCUAGCAAGUCAGAAGUUAAAGCCCUCGGCUCAACCGAGGUAAGCUUUUGAAACUGUUAGGCUUGAGUACAGGAGAGGAGAGUGGAAUUCCUAGUGUAGCGGUGAAAUGCGUAGAUAUUAGGGGGAACACCAGUGGCGAAGGCGACUCUCUGGACUGUAACUGACGCUGAGGCACGAAAGCGUGGGGAGCGAACAGGAUUAGAUACCCUGGUAGUCCACGCCGUAAACGAUGAGUACUAGGUGUCGGGGUCGACAGGCUUCGGUGCCGCAGUUAACACAUUAAGUACUCCGCCUGGGGAGUACGGUCGCAAGACUGAA